RNAcentral lists this long non-coding RNA (2224 nucleotides) under Nicotiana benthamiana. Its description in RNAcentral is "long non-coding RNA (NBEN_LNC026194)". Lineage: Eukaryota; Viridiplantae; Streptophyta; Magnoliopsida; Solanales; Solanaceae. The record is from RNAcentral.
AACGAAAACAGCAGGAGAAGUGAUUGCGGAAAAGGCCAUGGUAUUGCUAGAGAAUAUUGUUUCUUCAUCAAGAAUUGGACUAGAGGAAGCUGCAGGAACAGGUGGAGCAAUUCAGUGUUUGGUGGAGGCCAUGGAGGAAGGUUAAUUUCAUGACAAUCUCAUAUAAAAUUUCACACUAUUAAUUACUCCGUUAAUUGUAUUAUGUAUCAACACGCGUUGGCCUGAUUCUUUUUCAUGGGUCAAACACAUUUCAAUUUACGACUCCCUUGCAUGCUUUGGUACCAUGUUGAGUAGUGUGACUAUAUCAUGUUGAAUCAUUUGUGACUAUAUCGUCUAAAAACUUAAUCUAUUAAAGAGAGUACACUUUUAAUUUUAAUUGUAUUACGUCUCAACAGGUUCAAGACAAUGUAAAGAAGAUGCAGUGGCAAUUUUACUCCUAAUAUGUGAGAGCUGCAGAGAGAGAUACAGAGGGAUGAUAUUGAGGGAAGGAGCUACGGCUUCAGUUGAGUGUGGAUGGGACAAAGAGAGCCAGAGACAAUGCUAAAAGACUGCUUUUGCUUUUGAAAGACCGUUCGCAUUGCAGCCCGAAGAAUAAACAGCCAAAGAAUAUUCUGCUAUUGGAACAUGUUAUGAGACAAAUUGAGCAAGUGGCAGCACUGCUUCAGUUGAGUGUGGAUGGGACAAAGAGAGCCAGAGACAAUGCUAAAAGACUGCUUUUGCUUUUGAGAGACCGUUCGCAUUGCAGCCCAAAGAAUAAACAGCCCAAGAAUAUUCUGCUAUUGGAACAUGUUAUGAGACAAAUUGAGCAAGGAGUUGGAGAGAGAGAAGGGAUGUCUGUAGCAUUCUUGGAGGAAAUGAUUUCAAAACUUAGGACAUGACAGUUCAUGUGCUAGAUGUUCGAGUUGUGCUGAUAGUUGCAGUAAAUUUCAUUUGCUUUCUGAGUUUUGGAAGGGGCACAUGACCAAUGUUGUAUGAUUAUUUAUCAUAUAUCUGUACAUAAACUUCGAUUUAGAUUAUUUUCUUAGCUGUAUCGUACGCUACAAUUUGACAAAAGAAGUUCAUUUCCUAUCUUUUCAGCUCGGUAUUUCUCAUUUCCUUUUUCUUUUUAGCUCAAAAAUGAUCGGUUGGGGAUGAAAGGAGGAAAACAGGAGGAGAAAAAGUAAAAGGAAAGAGGAAUGAAUAAUUUUUCAUACUUGAUAAGUCGGAAUACCGAAUAUAGUCUUGGAGAGUACCAGUGAAGUUGUCACCAUAUGACCUAUAGAUUAUGAAUUUGCGGUCAUUUUUCAAAUUCAAUAUGAAUACGGGAUACUUUGUAUAUCGCGCUGCCCUUAAGGUAAGUCAGAACACCUCCUCUAUAAUUAUUUCCAAGCUUCUUAUAGGACAGAGAUGGAGAAAAAUGAACAACCAAUAGUCCAUUAGAAAAAGAAGAAGUUACCUUAUGGGAUUUUUUUCCUCCUAUACCAUAUAUGAAACUUUAUUACCAAAUAUGUGCAUAGUUUCUAAUUUACCCGUCAUGUUCAUACUUUUUCUACAAUUAUUAUACUAUUCAUUAAAUAUUAAUUAUUAGUAACUGAAUCUUCCUAAUUAGACGCACUACAAAUUAGGAACAGAAUAUUCUAAUUGAUUUAGCGACCUUCAGAUAGAAAUUGAAAUGGAAAUCCUUUAUCUUCAAUUUAAAAUCAAAUUACAUAGACUCUUUUCUGCAAAAACUCUGUUCUUCGAUAUUUUUCCAUAAGCCACAAAAUAAAAUAAAAAAGCAAAAUCGUCAACAAAUUCGAAUCAAAUUGUAGAAAUCAGUUCUACAAAAGCUCAGUUCAUCAAUUUUUUUUCCUCAAUCCACUGAUCAAAAAAGCGAUAAAAUAUUCAACAAAUUUAAGUCCAUUGUAGAAAUCAAUUCUGUCGAUACUCUGUUCUUCGCCUUUUUUUCUUAAUCCAAAAAAUUAAUAAAACAACAAAAUAUUGAACAAUACCUCAUCAACGACACGCAAUCAUGUCAAAAUUCCAAUCAUGCAACAAUUAAAUGAGAAUUGGGAUAGCUAUGGCAGAUUUAGAGAUUUUCACGUUAACAGCAUUGUGCUCGAUGAAGAUGCAAGUUACAAUAUGUUGAUUUCUACAGUUGCGGAACAAUUAAUGAUUGAUACUUUGAAAAAAUUUGUAGAAAUCAAAUACAUUGUGAAUGAGAAUUGUCCUCCAAUGCAGAUUAGGAACGAUAUGGGGGUUGUGU